UUCAAGGGUGGCAGAGCCUUCUCUUCCCCAGGGAAUCCACAUUCAGAGGCCAAAAGUUCAGAGACCAAGGGCCACUGCCCAAGUCACCAAAGGGACCAACAGAAACAUAGUCUGGCUCAUGGUCCAUCCCAGCAGCUCAGACUCUGACAGCUAAGCCAACCUGGUCUUCCUAAGCUGGGGACCAUGUUCACCAUGGCACGACUGUGGUCUUUCUUAUAGUUCCCUACAGCAGAAGCAGAGGAGAAUCCAGGAAAGAUCCUGUAAGUGCUGGAUGGGGAUACGAAAUCUGCUGGAGGAGAAAAGUCAUCAUCAGUCUUCCUCAACUACAAACACCUCAGGCUACAAUAAAGACUGAUCUGACAA
Molecule: non-coding RNA, 363 nt
Organism: Myodes glareolus (Bank vole)
Lineage: Eukaryota; Metazoa; Chordata; Mammalia; Rodentia; Cricetidae
Source: RefSeq, a predicted model, not a curated record